Long non-coding RNA from Panicum virgatum (switchgrass), 743 nucleotides. RefSeq lists it as uncharacterized. NCBI's taxonomy places the organism in Eukaryota, Viridiplantae, Streptophyta, Magnoliopsida, Poales, Poaceae. The transcript is spliced from 2 exons. The record is from RefSeq and is a predicted model, not a curated record.
CUAAGCUCAUCCAUUAACUGUUCUGCAGCGGUAGCAACACAUCUGGUUUGUAUUUCUCUAUUUGUUGCUCGCCAACAUCUGCAAUUUCUUAGCUUUGACGUUCCGUACCAUUUUAAUUGCAGCAACAGCUUGGCUUUUAUCUCUGAUUUUGAGCCAUGGCAGCAGGUCAGCCACGGGCCAUGUUAGGCACAUUCAGUUAUCAGCUUGCACUUCGAAAGCAUCAAAGUGGCAUGGAACAGAAGAUUUCAAGUCUCGGAAUCUGAAGCCUUAUUUUUCUGCAGAAAUGUGGACAAGCAGGCUAUAAAACAUACUUUGGAAGAAGAAGCUAGGAGGUGCCAGAGGCUGGUGCUAUGGCUUGAUUGUGAUAGAGAGGUUGAGAACAUAGCAUAUGAAGUGAUCGGAGUUUGGACAGGAUUGUGGACGCUGGACGUGCGUUAGUUAAUUGACUAAGCUACCUUUAUGAUUUAAGUAUUAGGCAAAUUUUAAUGAAUUUGACUGAAUGCGCUAGCUCUGCAUGGUGGAUUGGUGGUGUGGCCUUUGAACAACCAAAAGGUGUGUAAUCCUAAAAGAAAUUUUUGAUCAGCAUCUGUUAGCAUUCAGCAUGAUAGAUGGAUUCUUUAGCUCAGUAUUCAGCAUUCCAGCUUCUCAAGUUAAUUUAGUCACCGCAAGGCGUUCAUGUGUGGAAUUGUAUAGAUCGAUUUGCGAGAGAAGAGAUCCAAGCUAUUUGCUCGGCCUUCUGGACU